Molecule: long non-coding RNA, 374 nt
Organism: Pseudophryne corroboree (corroboree frog)
Lineage: Eukaryota; Metazoa; Chordata; Amphibia; Anura; Myobatrachidae
Exons: 3
Source: RefSeq, a predicted model, not a curated record
AGCCAGAGGGACUUUCCUGCCAAUCUGUACCAUUGACCAGCCUGUGGAAAAGGGACCAUCUUACCAGCCUGUUGCAGAGGAACCAGCCAUAUGGUGGUGGCAAGUCACAUGAUUAUGCCUCUUGCUGUGGCUAGGCAACGGGAGUCCGGCACGGAUCUUGGUGUGAGCGCUGGAGGGCGCAUGUCGCGGUGGGGUGACGUCAUCGGGAGUGGACGGACGCCCGGAGCCUGGCGGCAGGAGGAGGCGUGCAUUCACUUGCAACUGAGGAGAGAAAAGGCCAUGAAAGAAGAAUUUUCGAUCAUUACCAUCCCCAAUGCCCCCAUUGAUUCAAAUUUCUGAAUCAACCAAUGAAAUAAAAUUAACUUAUGAAUCAA